CCUACGGGCGGCAGCAGUGAGGAAUAUUGGUCAAUGGACGAGAGUCUGAACCAGCCAAGUAGCGUGAAGGAUGACUGCCCUAUGGGUUGUAAACUUCUUUUAUAUGGGAAUAAAAUGUUCCACGUGUGGGAUUUUGUAUGUACCAUAUGAAUAAGGAUCGGCUAACUCCGUGCCAGCAGCCGCGGUAAUACGGAGGAUACGAGCGUUAUCCGGAUUUAUUGGGUUUAAAGGGAGCGUAGGUGGAUUGUUAAGUCAGUUGUGAAAGUUUGCGGCUCAACCGUAAAAUUGCAGUUGAGACUGGCAGUCUUGAGUACAGUAGAGGUGGGCGGAAUUCGUGGUGUAGCGGUGAAAUGCUUAGAUAUCACGAAGAACUCCGAUUGCGAAGGCAGUUCACUGGACUGCAACUGACACUGAGGCUCGAAAGUGUGGGUAUCAAACAGGAUUAGAUACCCGAGUAGUC
RNAcentral lists this ribosomal RNA (460 nucleotides) under uncultured bacterium. RNAcentral describes it as "partial 16S ribosomal RNA". It matches the Rfam family "Bacterial small subunit ribosomal RNA", at positions 338 to 795 of the family's 1533-position model. The record is from RNAcentral.